This 230-nucleotide ribosomal RNA is filed under the name uncultured bacterium. Its description in RNAcentral is "partial 16S ribosomal RNA". It matches the Rfam family "Bacterial small subunit ribosomal RNA", at positions 118 to 346 of the family's 1533-position model. The record is from RNAcentral.
UGAGCAAUCUGCCCUUCUCAUCGGAAUAAGCGUUGGAAACGACGUCUAAUGCCGAAUACGACCUCCUUUCGCAUGAUCGGAGGUGGAAAGCUCCGGCGGAGAAGGAUGAGCUCGCGGCCUAUCAGCUAGUUGGUGUGGGUAAUGGCUCACCAAGGCGACGACGGGUAGCCGGCCUGAGAGGGGUGACCCGGCCACACUGGGACUGAGACACGGCCCAGACUCCGUAGGGA